Molecule: ribosomal RNA, 200 nt
Filed under: uncultured bacterium
Lineage: Bacteria
Description: partial 16S ribosomal RNA
Rfam family: Bacterial small subunit ribosomal RNA
Source: RNAcentral
AGAGUUUGAUCAUGGCUCAGGACGAACGCUGGCGGCGUGCCUAAUACAUGCAAGUCGAGCGGGACUCUUCGGAGUCUAGCGGCGGACGGGUGAGUAACACGUGGGUAACCUGCCUGACAGAUCGGGAUAACGCUUGGAAACGAGUGCUAAUACCGGAUGACACUUUGGAACUCCUGUUCCUUAGUUGAAAGACGGUUUCG